CGUGAGAUGUUGGGUUAAGUCCCGUAACGAGCGCAACCCUUGUCCCUAGUUGCCAGCGGUCCGGCCGGGCACUCUAGGGAGACUGCCGGUGACAAACCGGAGGAAGGUGGGGACGACGUCAAGUCAUCAUGGCCCUUACGACCUGGGCUACACACGUGCUACAAUGGCCGGUACAAAGGGCAGCGAAGCGGCGACGCGGAGCGAAUCCUUCAAAACCGGUCGUAGUCCGGAUUGGAGUCUGCAACUCGACUCCA
Molecule: ribosomal RNA, 254 nt
Filed under: uncultured bacterium
Lineage: Bacteria
Description: partial 16S ribosomal RNA
Rfam family: Bacterial small subunit ribosomal RNA
Source: RNAcentral